RNAcentral lists this microRNA (23 nucleotides) under Sarcophilus harrisii (Tasmanian devil). RNAcentral's name for it is "Sha-Mir-196-P4_3p* (star (passenger))". Lineage: Eukaryota; Metazoa; Chordata; Mammalia; Dasyuromorphia; Dasyuridae. RNAcentral also lists the same sequence under 16 other names. The record is from RNAcentral.
UCGGCAACAAGAAACUGCCUGAG